RNAcentral lists this ribosomal RNA (163 nucleotides) under Aureobasidium leucospermi. RNAcentral describes it as "partial 18S ribosomal RNA". It matches the Rfam family "Eukaryotic small subunit ribosomal RNA", at positions 1671 to 1831 of the family's 1831-position model. The record is from RNAcentral. Lineage: Eukaryota; Fungi; Ascomycota; Dothideomycetes; Dothideales; Saccotheciaceae.
GCCCGUCGCUACUACCGAUUGAAUGGCUGAGUGAGGCCUUCGGACUGGCCCAGGGAGGUCGGCAACGACCACCCAGGGCCGGAAAGUUGGUCAAACUCCGUCAUUUAGAGGAAGUAAAAGUCGUAACAAGGUUUCCGUAGGUGAACCUGCGGAAGGAUCAUUA